GUUGGGAAUCUUGGACAAUGGGCGAAAGCCUGAUCCAGCCAUGCCGCGUGAGUGAUGAAGGCCUUCGGGUUGUAAAACUCUUUCGACGGGGACGAUAAUGACGGUACCCGUAGAAGAAGCUCCGGCUAACUUCGUGCCAGCAGCCGCGGUAAUACGAAGGGGGCUAGCGUUGUUCGGAAUUACUGGGCGUAAAGCGCGCGCAGGCGGUUCUCCAAGUCAGUGGUGAAAGCCCGGAGCUCAACUCCGGAACUGCCAUUGAAACUGUUGAACUUGAGGACGAGAGAGGUGAGUGGAAUUCCCAGUGUAGAGGUGAAAUUCGUAGAUAUUGGGAAGAACACCAGUGGCGAAGGCGGCUCACUGGCUCGUAUCUGACGCUCAGGCGCGAUAGCGUGGGGAUCAAACAGG
RNAcentral lists this ribosomal RNA (405 nucleotides) under uncultured Micropepsaceae bacterium. Its description in RNAcentral is "bacterial SSU rRNA". It matches the Rfam family "Bacterial small subunit ribosomal RNA", at positions 354 to 776 of the family's 1533-position model. Lineage: Bacteria; Pseudomonadati; Pseudomonadota; Alphaproteobacteria; Micropepsales; Micropepsaceae. The record is from RNAcentral.